RNAcentral lists this ribosomal RNA (480 nucleotides) under uncultured bacterium. RNAcentral describes it as "bacterial SSU rRNA". It matches the Rfam family "Bacterial small subunit ribosomal RNA", at positions 328 to 802 of the family's 1533-position model. The record is from RNAcentral.
AUGAAACACUCCUACGGGAGGCAGCAGUGGGGGAUAUUGCACAAUGGAGGAAACUCUGAUGCAGCGACGCCGCGUGAGUGAAGAAGUAUUUCGGUAUGUAAACUCCUUUCGUUAGGGACGAAGCCACGCUUUUUUUGGGUGUGGUGACGGUACCUUUGUUAAGAAGCACCGGCUAACUACGUGCCAGCAGCCGCGGUAAUACGUAGGGUGCGAGCGUUGUCCGGAAUUACUGGGCGUAAAGAGCUCGUAGGUGGUUUGUUGCGUCGUCUGUGAAAUUCCGGGGCUUAACUUCGGGGUGGCAGGCGAUACGGGCAUAACUAGAUUGCUGUAGGGGAGACUGGAAUUCCUGGUGUAGCGGUGAAAUGCGCAGAUAUCAGGAGGAACACCGAUGGCGAAGGCAGGUCUCUGGGCCACUACUGACGCUGAGAAGCGAAAGCAUGGGGAGCGAACAGGAUUAGAAACCCCUGUAGUCCGAAGUUC